RNAcentral lists this microRNA (22 nucleotides) under Parasteatoda tepidariorum (common house spider). RNAcentral describes it as "pte-miR-35r-3p". Its record names the gene pte-miR-35r-3p. Lineage: Eukaryota; Metazoa; Arthropoda; Arachnida; Araneae; Theridiidae. The record is from miRBase by way of RNAcentral.
UCACUGGGAGGAAAGUUUCUAU